AUUUAGGGAAAAUUCUCUUGCCCAAAUAAAGUUAUAGUUUAAGAAAAAUUGAUUUGAGUGUCCUGUUUUUGUUUCCAGGUUCUUCCAUCAAAAGAUGGCAUUAGUAUUCCAUAAUUUUCAUGCUUUCUUAGUUCAUUUAAAAUUUUGAUAUGUUAUAAUCUCCUUAAUACUAAGUAUGGUGGUACUACUCUGCAAUGGGAAACGCACUUAGCACAGAAUUAAGUAUUAUCAUGCAACGCAGAGUUUUUUUAAAUUUAGCUUUCAGCAAAUUAGGUGACUAGAGAUAUUUAAAAAAUAAAAAAAAAGCAUGUCAAGGUCAGGCAUGGUGGCUUAUGCCUGUAAUCCCAGCACUUUGGAAGGCCUAGGUGGGCAGAUCACUUGAGCUCAGGGGUUUGAGAUCAGCUUGGGUUAACAUAGCAAGACCUCGUCUCUACUAAAAAUAAAGAAAAAUUAGCCAGGCAUUGUGGUGCAUGCCAAUAGUCCCAGCUACUCAGGAGGUUGAAUGAGGCUGGAGUAUUGCUUGAGCCCUGGAAUUGGAGGCUGCAGUGAGCUAUGAUAGUGCACUGCACUCCAGCCUGGGUGACAGAGAAAGACCCUGACUCAAAAAAAAAAAAUCAUUUUCCAAACAUUCCUUCAUUCCUUGGAAAAUUUUGUAGGAACAUGAUCUACCAAUCAAACAUAUUGGUGAAUGCCUAAAUGUGCCCUCCUCACCAUUACAGACAUUGCUGACCUACUGCACCGGCAACAGCAUUUGCUUACACAUUUGGAUCACUCUUGCACCCACUUGCCCCUUCAGAAGCCCCAAAGUUUCAAGCUCUCAGCCAUUCUUCCUGCUAUGAAAACCUGCUAUUAGAAUAAGGUCUUAUAUCACGCAUUUAUAUCUACGACUGAAUAUAAGCCAAAUGUUAUCUUCUUCCUGGAGUAUUUACAUAGAAAACUUCUCUCAAACUGAGAUUUAAAGCUCUGAUUAUUAAUUGUGGGAAAAAACCACAUAGUAUAAAGAUUACCAUCUUAACCACUUUUUAUGUGUACAGUAGUGUUAACCAUAAGCACCUUAUUGUGCAACAGAUCUCCAGAACUUUUUCAUCUUGCAAAGCUGAAACUCUAUACCCAUUGAACAAUUCCCCCUUUCUUUCUUCUAUCUCCAGCCCCUGGCAACCACCAUUCUACUUUUUGCUUCUAUGAAUUUGGUUACUUUUCAUACCUUAUAUAAAUAGAAUCAUGCAGUGUUUGUCUUUUUGUGACUGGCCUAUUUCACUUUCCAUAAUGUCCUCAAGGUUUAUCAUUUUUGUGACUGGCCUAUUGCACUUUGCAUAAUGUCCUCAAGGUUUAUCCAUGUUGUAGCAUAUGACAGGAUGUCCUUUUAUAAGGCUGAAUAACAUUCCAUUAUAUGUAUGUAUAUACCACAUUUUCUUUAUCC
RNAcentral lists this long non-coding RNA (1420 nucleotides) under Homo sapiens (human). RNAcentral describes it as "HSALNT0188292". Lineage: Eukaryota; Metazoa; Chordata; Mammalia; Primates; Hominidae. The record is from RNAcentral.